RNAcentral lists this unclassified non-coding RNA (739 nucleotides) under Hevea brasiliensis (rubber tree). The record is from RNAcentral. Lineage: Eukaryota; Viridiplantae; Streptophyta; Magnoliopsida; Malpighiales; Euphorbiaceae.
AAUAAUAAUAAUAAUAAUACUGUUAUCAAAUUGAAAUUGCUUCCGAUGGCAUAAAAUUCUUUGAUUAUUGUAUAAUUAAUAGCUUUCACCUCAAAACUAAGCAAAUUUUUAGCUCAAAAUUUCAUAAUAAGAAAUGAUUUUGUUUACGUAAGAAAAAGAAUUAAUGAAGUGCUAAUUUUGACUGCUGGAUCCCUGAGGGAUUUAAGGCUUAAUUGAGUUGAGUUUUCGUGUUAUUAUAAAGUAGCCUCCUUAUCUGUACUUUCAACAGUAUGCACCAUAUUUUUGAACAUAGCAUGUCGUGUAGGAAGGUUGUUAACUGUAGUAGGACUUUAAAGAGAAAAUCUAUCAACUUAUUCGGCCCCCUAUUUUCUAGGUUUAAAAAGAUUAAAUUUAUUACAUUUACUCCCUCUCAAAAAGCUAUAACAAACAGGUUUUCCCAACAUUGACCGUGCUUCAGAAUCAAAAGUGUAAAGAACUUCCUGUAUAACUUUUGCUAUUGAAGAAGGAAUUUUACCGAGUUCAAAAAAAAAAAUUAAUAAAUAAAAAGACUGUAGCAUAAACUCAUAAAAACUAUAAUCAGAUGCCUUUAAUAGACAGACAGAAAUGAGUACUUCAGUGAUGCUGCCAGAUGAUAUUGAGAUCAAGGAAGUAUUGGAUAAAGGCUGCCAUAGCAAAAUUAGUGAUUUUCUAAACUCCUGUUGAACAAAUAACUUACGUUCUCUAGUUUCAAAUUUAAUUC